Molecule: ribosomal RNA, 578 nt
Filed under: uncultured Bacteroidota bacterium
Lineage: Bacteria; Pseudomonadati; Bacteroidota
Description: bacterial SSU rRNA
Rfam family: Bacterial small subunit ribosomal RNA
Source: RNAcentral
CCUACGGGAGGCAGCAGUAAGGAAUAUUGGGCAAUGGACGCAAGUCUGACCCAGCCAUGCCGCGUGAAGGAAGACGGCCCUAUGGGUUGUAAACUUCUUUUCUCAGGGGGUAAACUUCGGAACGUGUUCCGGACUGAAAGUACCUGAGGAAUAAGCAUCGGCUAACUCCGUGCCAGCAGCCGCGGUAAUGCGGAGGGUGCAAGCGUUAUCCGGAUUUAUUGGGUUUAAAGGGUCCGUAGGCGGACUUAUAAGUCAGUGGUGAAAGCCUGUCGCUUAACGAUAGAACUGCCAUUGAUACUGUAAGUCUUGAGUAUAUUUGAGGUAGCUGGAAUAAGUAGUGUAGCGGUGAAAUGCAUAGAUAUUACUUAGAACACCAAUUGCGAAGGCAGGUUACCAAGAUAUAACUGACGCUGAGGGACGAAAGCGUGGGGAGCGAACAGGAUUAGAUACCCUGGUAGUCCACGCCGUAAACGAUGCUAACUCGUUUUUGGGCUUUAGGGUUCAGAGACCAAGCGAAAGUGAUAAGUUAGCCACCUGGGGAGUACGCUCGCAAGAGUGAAACUCAAAGGAAUUGACGG